Molecule: ribosomal RNA, 1849 nt
Filed under: uncultured Acidobacteriota bacterium
Lineage: Bacteria; Pseudomonadati; Acidobacteriota
Description: bacterial LSU rRNA
Rfam family: Bacterial large subunit ribosomal RNA
Source: RNAcentral
GGAAGUGAACCAUCUCAGCACCUGCAGGAAGAGAAAUCAAUCGAGAUUCCGCUAGUAGCGGCGAGCGAACGCGGACAUAGCCCAAACCUCUGUGCUUGCACAGGGGGGUUGUAGGGCCUGCCUGGCCGUGAGGCCGGCGAGUUACCAACCAAUUUGUUAGUCGAACACUCUGGAAAGGGUGGCCAUAGAGGGUGACAGCCCCGUAGGCGAAAACAAAUUGGCUCGCUGGGUAGGUACCUGAGUACCGCGGGACACGUGGAAUCCCGUGGGAAUCUAGGAGGACCAUCUUCUAAGGCUAAAUACUCUCUAGCGACCGAUAGUGAACCAGUACCGUGAGGGAAAGGUGAAAAGCACCCCUGUGCGGGGAGUGAAAUAGUACCUGAAACCGUAUGCCUACAAGCAGCGGGAGGGCGUUUGCCUGGAGCUUGCUCCGGGUGUUGCCUGACCGCGUGCCUUUUGCAUAAUGAGCCGGCUAGUUAUUCUCAGUGGCGAGGUUAAGCGUAAGCGAGCCGUAGCGAAAGCGAGUCCGAACAGGGCGUUUAGUCGCUGGGAAUAGACGCGAAGCGAGGUGAUCUACCCUUGGCCAGGGCGAAGCGUGAGUAACAUCACGUGGAGGCCCGAACUAGUGUUGGUUGAAAACAACUUGGAUGAGCUGAGGGUAGGAGUGAAAGGCCAAUCAAACCUCGUGAUUGCCCGUUCUCCUCGAAAUAUCUUUAGGGAUAGCCUCGGGAGGUCGGCGUUGGUGGUAGAGAUCUGAAUGGACUAAGGGGCUUACCAGCUUACUGAAUCCAACCAAACUUCGAAUGCCAACGACACGUGUCCCGGGAGUCAGACGGCGGGGGUCUAAGCUUCGUCGUCGAAAGGGAAACAGCCCGAGCUACCGGCUAAGGUCCCUAAAUCUGUGCUAAGUGGUAAAGGAUCUGGAGACACUCAGACAACCAGGAGGUUGGCUUAGAAGCAGCCAUCCUUUAAAGAAAGCGUAAUAGCUCACUGGUCAAGUGGCUCCGGGCCGAUAAUACAACGGGGCUCAAGCACAGUACCGAAGCCGUAGAUUGCACGUAACCUUCGGGGUCAAUGGUAGAGGAGUGUUCUCACAGCAGUGAAGCCAGACCGUAAGGACUGGUGGAGUGGUGAGAAGUGACCCUGCCGGCAUAAGUAGCGAUAAGAGAGGCGAGAAUCCUCUCCGCCGUAAGCCUAAGGUUUCCUGAGGAAGGUUCGUCCGCUCAGGGUUAGUCGGGUCCUAACGCGAGGCCGAAAGGCGUAGCGGACGGAUAUCGGGUUAAUAUUCCCGAACUACCUGGAAAACGUUAUCACGAUGGGGAGACGCAGGAGGCUAACCGGGCCCACGAUUGGACGUGUGGGUUCAGGCAUGUAGGGGGAUUCGCCAGGUAAAUCCGGUGAGUCACAUACCCUGAGGUGCCAUGGCGAAGCGCUAACGCGCUAUAAAGCCGGUGACGCCACGCUGCCGAGAAAAUCCUCUAAGGAGUGUUCCAGGUACCCGUACCGCAAACCGACACAGGUAGGCGAGGAGAAAAUCCUCAGGCGCAAGUGAGAACCCUCGUUUAGGAACUCGGCAAACUCGCCCCGUAACUUCGGAAGAAGGGGUGCUCCGUGUAACGUGAGCCGGUUCGCCCGGCAGAGCGUGAGGGAGUUGCAAUAAAGAGGCCCAGGCGACUGUUUACUAAAAACACAGGACUCUGCCAAGUCGAACACGACGUAUAGGGUCUGACGCCUGCCUGGUGCCGGAAGGUUAAAGGGAGGGGUUAGCCGCAAGGCGAAGCUCUGAACUGAAGCCCCGGUAAACGGCGGCCGUAACUAUAACGGUCCUAAGGUAGCGAAAUUCCUUGUC